Molecule: unclassified non-coding RNA, 1894 nt
Filed under: Leishmania donovani
Lineage: Eukaryota; Euglenozoa; Kinetoplastea; Trypanosomatida; Trypanosomatidae
Description: gene:LdHU3.35.1050(CDS-product:nuclear_transmembr ane_protein_putative)
Source: RNAcentral
CAUGGAGUGAGUUCGAAAAUCGCGCACACACACACACACACACGACAGGCAACCCCGCGCUGUACGGUACAUGCGGCACGGAGUCACAAAGAACUACGCCACAGCACCGCCUGUCAAGUAGCAUCUGCCCUCCCUCCCUCCCUCACUUUACGACCAAAACGCGCGCGCACGACGACCUCCUUGCGUGUGUCGGAUCAAAAUGGAGGUCACUCACAUUAUCGCUGUGGUGUUUUUCAACAGGGUUGCCUUGCAGUAUGCCUUGUGGGCGGCCAUCCUGCUCGCCCCGCUCUAUGCGUUUGCGCUGAAGCCUCUCGUCCGAUGCUGCCGACAGUGUGCAGCGAUGAAGGCCGCAACACGUUCUGCGGAGAGAACGGCUUUACAACCACCAGCAGCUAGCAAGCUUCAUGGCACCCCUGUGCGGCUCUCCGCGGCCGGAUCGAAAGGAUUCCUCUCGCCCGCGUCUGUUGGGGCCACACAGGCAUCUUUCAUGCCUAUCUUCGCCACCGCCGCGACAGUGACACCGUCUUAUCAGGCGCGCAGUCGCAGCAGCAUCGGUGCGCAGGUGGCUCCUCUCGGGCCCCAUGACUCGACGCCAAACGGGCAUGGUUCAACGCGCUCGCUAGAAGUCACGGGAACAGCGCUGACGCUGGAGGAGGUGGGGUGUCGCUCGGUGACACAGCGCUUCGUGUCGGCGCUGUGCCGGCACGUGCGGCAACGUGGCUCAGCCCUCUUCAAGAGUCGCGACAGCACCUUGCGCGCAGCCCUGCAGUCGGGCGAGUUGUAUCUCCACCGCCACUCCUCGCUGCAUCUGCCAAGCCAGAACUACUUUUCUCACAGCCUGCAGGAGAAGUAUGACAAACUCAACACCACCGACGCCUCCUUGGAGGCGCUCUACGUACGGCCUGCGUUCCAGGAGUGGUAUGCGGCAAAUCGUGAGCAGCUCCUGCGCGACAUGCAACUUCGCGAGGCAUUCGCCAAAUGGUGCAACGUCGCGACGGCCUUUGUGCUCCUUGUGGCCUUGUUGCUGCUUCCAGCAUACAGUUUCAGCAUGCAGACCAACGCCAUGCAGUGGGUGUCGCCCUUGGCAUCCGUUGACGACGAGGCCGCUGUCGCCGCCGCCCCUCUGGCGCAGCUUUUGGCCACACGUCUGCGCUACAUCCAGUCCCGGGAGUUGGCGCCUCGGAUCGCCACCAGUACGACGCUGUCCUCCUCUCGCCGUCGCGCCGACGCCAUUGCCAUGGCUACUAACGCGGUAAAGGCCGCAGAGUACGUAAGCGUUGUGGCUGCCGCGUGCGCACUCGUGACGAGUUGCUUUAUGCCGCGCGAGAGCUGCACCACCGCGUCUGUCGCGCUCGUGUCGUUUCUCCUCCUCGUGAUGGAGUCAGCGCUGGUGCCGAAGGCGGCGGUGAAGCUGGGGCUGGGGUUUCUCGUUGUGUUCACGAUCGUCGCGAUGAGCGUUUGUCGCGCCGCUGUGUAGCAAUGUGUUCUUAUGCAAAAGAAUUUGAGCGGUACGGAAAAAAAAAGCGUUGCAGUCUCAGCGCUGCUGGCCAGCUCUUGUGCGCGCUGGUGUGCACUGCCCAUCUGUGUCCCGCUUCUUGCUCCCGGCAUGCGUGUGUGUGUGUGUGGUGUGUGAAAUCUUGGCUGUUCCUUGGUGUGUGUCUCGUGUACUGUGUGCUCACUUCCGACCAUGCCUCGGCGCCACCCGCUAACGCACGUGCCACAGCCGGCAUUGCACGGGGAAGUGGGGGGAGGUACAUGCGAAGGUGCAUCGGAGAGCAAACUGGAUGGGGUGUACGCUUCCACACAACGCUCGCCACACGUGGGCGUAGAUGAGGUGUAGAUGAAAGCGGAAAACACCAAAAGAGGUCGGAAGGGAUGGCCGAAUGCAGCACAG